CUGGGAUAACUCCGGGAAACCGGGGCUAAUACCGGAUGGUUGUUUGAACCGCAUGGUUCAGACAUAAAAGGUGGCUUCGGCUACCACUUACAGAUGGACCCGCGGCGCAUUAGCUAGUUGGUGAGGUAACGGCUCACCAAGGCGACGAUGCGUAGCCGACCUGAGAGGGUGAUCGGCCACACUGGGACUGAGACACGGCCCAGACUCCUACGGGAGGCAGCAGUAGGGAAUCUUCCGCAAUGGACGAAAGUCUGACGGAGCAACGCCGCGUGAGUGAUGAAGGUUUUCGGAUCGUAAAGCUCUGUUGUUAGGGAAGAACAAGUGCCGUUCAAAUAGGGCGGCACCUUGACGGUACCUAACCAGAAAGCCACGGCUAACUACGUGCCAGCAGCCGCGGUAAUACGUAGGUGGCAAGCGUUGUCCGGAAUUAUUGGGCGUAAAGGGCUCGCAGGCGGUUUCUUAAGUCUGAUGUGAAAGCCCCCGGCUCAACCGGGGAGGGUCAUUGGAAACUGGGGAACUUGAGUGCAGAAGAGGAGAGUGGAAUUCCACGUGUAGCGGUGAAAUGCGUAGAGAUGUGGAGGAACACCAGUGGCGAAGGCGACUCUCUGGUCUGUAACUGACGCUGAGGAGCGAAAGCGUGGGGAGCGAACAGGAUUAGAUACCCUGGUAGUCCACGCCGUAAACGAUGAGUGCUAAGUGUUAGGGGGUUUCCGCCCCUUAGUGCUGCAGCUAACGCAUUAAGCACUCCGCCUGGGGAGUACGGUCGCAAGACUGAAACUCAAAGGAAUUGACGGGGGCCCGCACAAGCGGUGGAGCAUGUGGUUUAAUUCGAAGCAACGCGAAGAACCUUACCAGGUCUUGACAUCCUCUGACAAUCCUAGAGAUAGGACGUCCCCUUCGGGGGCAGAGUGACAGGUGGUGCAUGGUUGUCGUCAGCUCGUGUCGUGAGAUGUUGGGUUAAGUCCCGCAACGAGCGCAACCCUUGAUCUUAGUUGCCAGCAUUCAGUUGGGCACUCUAAGGUGACUGCCGGUGACAAACCGGAGGAAGGUGGGGAUGACGUCAAAUCAUCAUGCCCCUUAUGACCUGGGCUACACACGUGCUACAAUGGACAGAACAAAGGGCAGCGAAACCGCGAGGUUAAGCCAAUCCCACAAAUCUGUUCUCAGUUCGGAUCGCAGUCUGCAACUCGACUGCGUGAAGCUGGAAUCGCUAGUAAUCGCGGAUCAGCAUGCCGCGGUGAAUACGUUCC
Molecule: ribosomal RNA, 1250 nt
Filed under: Bacillus velezensis
Lineage: Bacteria; Bacillati; Bacillota; Bacilli; Caryophanales; Bacillaceae
Also listed under: 1 other name
Description: bacterial SSU rRNA
Rfam family: Bacterial small subunit ribosomal RNA
Source: RNAcentral